RNAcentral lists this ribosomal RNA (457 nucleotides) under uncultured bacterium. RNAcentral describes it as "bacterial SSU rRNA". It matches the Rfam family "Bacterial small subunit ribosomal RNA", at positions 340 to 786 of the family's 1533-position model. The record is from RNAcentral.
UACGGAAGGCAGCAGUGGGGAAUAUUGCACAAUGGGCGAAAGCCUGAUGCAGCUAUGCCGCGUGUAUGAAGAAGGCCUUAGGGUUGUAAAGUACUUUCAUCGGGGAGGAAAAAACAAAACUAAUAAUUUUAUUUCUUGACGUUACCCGAAAAAGAAGCACCGGCUAACUCCGUGCCAGCAGCCGCGGUAAUACGGAGGGUGCUAGCGUUAAUCAGAAUUACUGGGCGUAAAGAGCACGUAGGUGGUUUUUUUAAGUCAGAUGUGAAAUCCCUGGGCUUAACCUAGGAACUGCAUUUUGAAACUGAAAUACUAGAGUAUCGUAGAGGGAGGUAGAAUUCUAGGUGUAGCGGUGAAAUGCGUAGAUAUCCGGAGGAAUACCUGUGGCGAAAGCGGCCUCCUAAACGAAUACUGACACUGAGGGUGCGAAAGCGUGGGGAGCAAACAGGGAUUAGAUACC